GACGAACGCUGGCGGCGUGCCUAAUACAUGCAAGUAGAACGCUGAAGAGAGGAGCUUGCUCUUCUUGGAUGAGUUGCGAACGGGUGAGUAACGCGUAGGUAACCUGCCUUGUAGCGGGGGAUAACUAUUGGAAACGAUAGCUAAUACCGCAUAACAAUGGAUGACACAUGUCAUUUAUUUGAAAGGGGCAAUUGCUCCACUACAAGAUGGACCUGCGUUGUAUUAGCUAGUAGGUGAGGUAAUGGCUCACCUAGGCGACGAUACAUAGCCGACCUGAGAGGGUGAUCGGCCACACUGGGACUGAGACACGGCCCAGACUCCUACGGGAGGCAGCAGUAGGGAAUCUUCGGCAAUGGGGGCAACCCUGACCGAGCAACGCCGCGUGAGUGAAGAAGGUUUUCGGAUCGUAAAGCUCUGUUGUAAGUCAAGAACGGGUGUGAGAGUGGAAAGUUCACACUGUGACGGUAGCUUACCAGAAAGGGACGGCUAACUACGUGCCAGCAGCCGCGGUAAUACGUAGGUCCCGAGCGUUGUCCGGAUUUAUUGGGCGUAAAGCGAGCGCAGGCGGUUUGAUAAGUCUGAAGUUAAAGGCUGUGGCUCAACCAUAGUUCGCUUUGGAAACUGUCAAACUUGAGUGCAGAAGGGGAGAGUGGAAUUCCAUGUGUAGCGGUGAAAUGCGUAGAUAUAUGGAGGAACACCGGUGGCGAAAGCGGCUCUCUGGUCUGUAACUGACGCUGAGGCUCGAAAGCGUGGGGAGCGAACAGGAUUAGAUACCCUGGUAGUCCACGCCGUAAACGAUGAGUGCUAGGUGUUGGAUCCUUUCCGGGAUUCAGUGCCGCAGCUAACGCAUUAAGCACUCCGCCUGGGGAGUACGACCGCAAGGUUGAAACUCAAAGGAAUUGACGGGGGCCCGCACAAGCGGUGGAGCAUGUGGUUUAAUUCGAAGCAACGCGAAGAACCUUACCAGGUCUUGACAUCCCGAUGCUAUUUCUAGAGAUAGAAAGUUACUUCGGUACAUCGGUGACAGGUGGUGCAUGGUUGUCGUCAGCUCGUGUCGUGAGAUGUUGGGUUAAGUCCCGCAACGAGCGGAACCCCUAUUGUUAGUUGCCAUCAUUCAGUUGGGCACUCUAGCGAGACUGCCGGUAAUAAACCGGAGGAAGGUGGGGAUGACGUCGAAUCAUCAUGCCCCUUAUGACCUGGGCUACACACGUGCUACAAUGGUUGGUACAACGAGUUGCGAGUCGGUGACGGCGAGCUAAUCUCUUAAAGCCAAUCUCAGUUCGGAUUGUAGGCUGCAACUCGCCUACAUGAAGUCGGAAUCGCUAGUAAUCGCGGAUCAGCACGCCGCGGCGAAUACGUUCCCGGGCCU
RNAcentral lists this ribosomal RNA (1369 nucleotides) under uncultured bacterium. RNAcentral's name for it is "bacterial SSU rRNA". It matches the Rfam family "Bacterial small subunit ribosomal RNA", at positions 28 to 1381 of the family's 1533-position model. The record is from RNAcentral.